GGGGAAUUUUGGACAAUGGGGGCAACCCUGAUCCAGCCAUGCCGCGUGAGUGAAGAAGGCCUUCGGGUUGUAAAGCUCUUUCGGACGGAAAGAAAUCGCCGCCUCUAACAUAGGCGGUGGAUGACGGUACCGUAAGAAGAAGCACCGGCUAACUACGUGCCAGCAGCCGCGGUAAUACGUAGGGUGCGAGCGUUAAUCGGAAUUACUGGGCGUAAAGCGUGCGCAGGCGGUUUGGUAAGACAGGUGUGAAAUCCCCGGGCUUAACCUGGGAACUGCGCUUGUGACUGCCAGGCUAGAGUACGGCAGAGGGGGGUGGAAUUCCACGUGUAGCAGUGAAAUGCGUAGAGAUGUGGAGGAACACCGAUGGCGAAGGCAGCCCCCUGGGCCUGUACUGACGCUCAUGCACGAAAGCGUGGGGAGCAAACA
Molecule: ribosomal RNA, 426 nt
Filed under: uncultured Rhodocyclaceae bacterium
Lineage: Bacteria; Pseudomonadati; Pseudomonadota; Betaproteobacteria; Rhodocyclales; Rhodocyclaceae
Description: bacterial SSU rRNA
Rfam family: Bacterial small subunit ribosomal RNA
Source: RNAcentral